RNAcentral lists this ribosomal RNA (468 nucleotides) under uncultured bacterium. RNAcentral's name for it is "partial 16S ribosomal RNA". It matches the Rfam family "Bacterial small subunit ribosomal RNA", at positions 28 to 507 of the family's 1533-position model. The record is from RNAcentral.
GACGAACGCUGGCGGCGUGCUUAACACAUGCAAGUCGAACGGCAGCGCCCUGCUUUUGUGGGGUGCUCGAGUGGCGAACGGGUGAGUAACACGUGAGUAACCUGCCCUUCACUUUGGUAUGACUUCAGGAAACUGGGGCUACUACCGUAUCGGAGCUCCUUCUGCAUGGUGGGGGUUGGAUCUUUUCGGCUGUUGGGGUUGGACUCGCGGCUUAUCAGUUUGCUGGUGGGGGAGUUGCUUGCCAAGGCUUUGAAGGAUAGGCGGCCUGAGUGGGUGAACGGGGACAAGGGGACUGAGAGACGGACCAGACGGAAAUAGGAGGCAGCAGGGGGGAGUAUUGUACAGAGGGCGGAAGUCUGAUGCGGAAACCCCGCGGGUGGGAAGAAGGUUUUCGGGUUGAAAAACGCAGGCGGCUGUGACGAAGCGGGAGUGACGGUAAAGAAUGAAGAAGCACCGGCUAACUACGUG